This is a non-coding RNA of Mycena crocata, 94 nucleotides long. Lineage: Eukaryota; Fungi; Basidiomycota; Agaricomycetes; Agaricales; Mycenaceae. The record is from the annotation of a GenBank genome assembly.
GCACCGGCCGUGUGCGGUCACACCUCGUCUUCCUAUUAUAGCAGGGUUUCGUUGUUUCUGAGGCGAAGUGGGGGUUCGACUCCCCACCGGUGCA